AAUCUUCUUCCGGAUUUUGGCUCACAGAAUACGUAAUAAAUCACCACAACUCACCUGAUACUUACAGAAGAUUAAAUAAAAACACGAGGUCUAGUGACCUAUUACCUAUUGCUUACCGUACCGCACUCAGCUGAGAAAAUCGGAGGGCUGCCAUGAUAUUCCUGCCCAAAGUCUUGAAAAUUCUGCAUUAUUUUCAGAUAAUUUUAAAAAUAUGACGCAACAUGGGCUGGAAUAUAUUUCUCCUUACCCAAAUAAGGACUCUAUAUUCUAUGUGAAUCUUCGUUGGGGAAAUUAUCUCAGCGUACCUACAUUUGCUCGGAGAUGUUAAUGAUGUUAAGGGUCACGGUUUUCCCUCAAUUAUUUGCCCCGAAACCAUGCCCGACGCCAGACAUUUCCGUCUGAAGGCGAGCCGAAUUUGAACACCGGCAUUUUCUAACGAUCUUUGAGAUCUUGAGAAGAGGGAAGAGAGAAAGACGAUGAUAGGUGUAAGUUCAAUGGACGGACUUUCCCCGUUUUCUCUACGGUGUCGCGGUAAUACGGGAAUGCAUCCCAGAGGGGGUCAUCAAUUUUGGAGGAAGGCUCGCGAACAGGAUUUCAUCCCUCUUUCGGUGCGGCUCCAAGCUACGGAGCGAGUCUUGACCCCGGCUCGCAGACCCACAAUGCAUUGCGUUGCCGGUUUCCCCAUGCGCAGCGUCGGUGCGCAGUAGUCUUCUCGCUCGCUAGGCCGGUGCCGUCGAAUUUUUCUUAGUGCUUCCUUUUGUGUGUGAUUUUUAAUUUACAAUGGCAGACCAAGAUCAAGAAAUGGGAAAUGGAGAUGGUCAGCAAGAACAGACUGACUACAUGAACGGUGGUGAAGGCGGAAAUGGCGAAGCCACGGACUCAUCCUCUGGAAAGGAUGACGAUAGAAAAUUAUUUGUUGUGGUCUCAGCUGGGAAACCUCAGACAGUAAGUGUUCUUUCUCCUUCGAUUUUCUGUCUCUGUGAAAGUUACAGUUAUUCUCAAUCUUCACACUAUUCUAUUAGAGAAUAUAACAUUACUGGCUUCAUAGUAUGAACAAAAGCCUUGUAGUUCUUUAUUCAUAAUAUUGAGAGACUACUUCAACUUCAUCAAAAUUUCCGUGUAUGGUGAGACUUGUAAGUGUAAUUGAUAAGUAUAUCUGUUAGGAAAGACCCCGUUAUCCUUUGUAUGGAUACAACUAUUAAUUUAUAGUCAUUCAGUUCCCCUCUCCCCACUGUCUCACUAACAGAGGUACUAAAAUUCCCACAGAUUUACUUGAAUACUUUGUGCGCAUUCAGUCUGAAUGAUAAAAUCUGUGACAAGGAUAUGAAGUAUCUAUUGAUAAACAACUGCACAGCUAUAUAAUCUAAAAUUUGUCAUUUUAACCAUUUUGACACUAAUCUUUAUUUUUUAUUUUCACAGAGGAACUCAGAGAACACUUCAGCAAGUAUGGUGAAAUCGAAAAUAUCAAUGUGAAAGUAGACCCAAACACCGGAAGGUCGAGAGGCUUUGCAUUUAUUGUAUUUAAGGAUGUAGCUGUAAUAGAUAAGGUAUGAUGUCCAAGAUUAUUUUUGCCUCUCAAUUCUAGUUCACGCUCAGAGAACAGCAUAAUAGCUGUUGCUUUGCUCAGGGGUGUCAUUUAACCUGCAAUAGGAGUGAGAGGAGAACAAAUCUUAUCACUUCCCUCAGUUUGACUAGAAUUUUUUCUACUGAAAGUCAGCAAUCAUGAAGGGUUGUGUUGUUACUCUCCGUAGCCUGUUACCCUGAUGAAUGCUUUCAUUAGCACGUUGAAAUAGUAUCCUUUCUGUCUAGCUGCCACCCGAUUCUGGGGCUCAAAUUGAGAUAUUCACCUGAAGGCUUCUGCUCCCUUUAAAAUGUAAACCAUUGUAAUACACAUUCUCAAGAAUUUCUAAAAUCUUGACAAGUAAAAAUUUCCAGUAGAAUCCCCCGCGAAAAUUUAUUUUUUAUCACACACCUCGUAAGGUGUGUGAGCUCUCAAUUAUCAUAGGACGCAUCCUCGAAAAAAAAUAUAGGUCGGAUUUUUUCCCCCUCAUAAAUACCUUAUUUUCUUUUUAGGGAGGAAGACAUUUUAGGCAUAAUCUUUUCUUUUGUGUUGCUAUAUUGGAUAGACUUCUCACCAAGACACUGAUUCAUCUUCAAUUGCUCAAUCUUGCUGUGCUUAUCUUUGGAUACCCUGAGUUCUUAGGUACCACUUCAUGUGCGCUUUCAUUUUUCAGGUAAUCGCAGCUGGAGCCAGUCUCAUGGAAAGAAAUCGAUCCCAAGCAGCGAUGGAAGUGAGGCUAUCCACAGACUUGACAAUGAGACAUCAAAAACUACUUCGCUCAUUGGAACUGU
This 2352-nucleotide long non-coding RNA is filed under the name Bemisia tabaci. RNAcentral describes it as "lncRNA ENSSSA3NGG003104". The record is from RNAcentral. Lineage: Eukaryota; Metazoa; Arthropoda; Insecta; Hemiptera; Aleyrodidae.